CAACAGAAACCACACCACAAAUUCACUACAUAUUUCUUCCUCUCCUCUUCCUCUACCCUCUCUGCCUGAUCAUCUGAAUUCCUCUCCCUCUGCUGCAGAAAUCCAGACCUGAGGCCAAAUCAGGACUCCUCCUCUCUGCUACGAUCCCUUUUCCUCCAUCUCACUAAGUGGUAUAGCUUAAGUGCUCUUGGGUGGGAGGACCCUAGCUAGUUAGGAAUAUAUAUAGAGAGCUGAAACCAGAUGGAGAUGCCCCCUCUUGAGUAGGAGUUGGAGCCUGGCAAGGAGUGCCCACUAUAGUUUAGACUUUUACUGUAUAUUUUGAGGGUUUGGGUGUAGUUUAGCAUCCUUUCUACCUACUCUUACCUGGUGUAUAUGUGUUCAUAGAUGUAGCAGUGUGGAGGACUGUACUAGAUAUAUAUAUACUAUGUGUGUAUAACUGCCACCCCUACUAUUUGCUAUGUUUAAUCAUGAUAUAAUGUUUUAUUU
Vigna unguiculata (cowpea) is the source of this 486-nucleotide long non-coding RNA. Lineage: Eukaryota; Viridiplantae; Streptophyta; Magnoliopsida; Fabales; Fabaceae. The record is from RefSeq and is a predicted model, not a curated record.